AGUAGCGUGUCCGAGUGGACUAAGACGCUGGUUUUAGGCACCAGUCUCAUUGUAGAAGUGGGUUCGAAUCCCACCGCUGUCA
Molecule: non-coding RNA, 82 nt
Organism: Trichonephila inaurata madagascariensis
Lineage: Eukaryota; Metazoa; Arthropoda; Arachnida; Araneae; Nephilidae
Source: the annotation of a GenBank genome assembly